CAAACAGAAAGAAGAAAAGGAAAAGAAAUACCACUGCACCACCGAAUAUUUAGAUAAUCGUCACAAUAAUUAAAGUCGUCUUUGCUUAAACAGCAUAAUUCAUCAUCUUUUUCUUUUCGUUUCUUUGACUAUUUACAGGCUUCUUUCUUCUAUUUUGAAUCCCGAUCACGGAGCUUUCUUCAUCUCUUUCUCUGAUAAUCCGGGACAAUGUCUUUUAUGCGAAAUUACCGGCCACAAGGAGAUGGCUACCAAGAUAGCCGGUGGUCCUCUUCCAAUAGAAAUAACUUCAUCAAUAAUAGUAACAGGAACAAAAGUUGGAAUUAUAAUCAUGUUCAAAACUAUAAUGGUUUCCAGGACUACUCUGGGAGAUACUGGGAACGUUUUAAUAAUUUUAAUUAUGUUCAACCAGACAAUGCACCAUCAUACAAGAGGAGAAAAUUUUCAGCUUCAUCUUGGGCAGAUAGCACAAUGAACUAUUUGCCACAGCCCAAGCGAUAUGAGAGUGCUGCACCUUCAGUCUAUAACUAUUUGGUUCCGCCUGCUUUGAAAUCUAACACUGAGGUAUCUACAUCAACAAGUUGUAAACGUGACCGCUCAAAAUUGGAUGAUGAAGAACCAGUGUUCAUGUCAAGGGAUGAAAUUGAGAGACACUCACCUUCAAGAAAAGACGGUAUUGAUGCAGUACGUGAAACACAUUUACGGUAUUCAUAUUGCGGGUUCAUUCAGCAGCUUGGAAACCAGCUUGACUUACCACAGACCACUAUUGGCACUGCCAUGGUUUUAUGUCACCGGUUUUUUGUCCGCCGAUCACAUGCCUGCCAUGAUAGAUUUUUGAUUGCUACUGCUGCUCUCUUUCUUGCUGCAAAGUCUGAAGAGACACCUCGUCCUCUAAAUGAUGUUGUGAAAGCUUCUUCGGAAAUUUACCAUAAGCAGGAUAUUACUCUGUUGUCUUAUCUGCUUCCUGUUGACUGGUUUGAGCAGUAUCGGGAGCGAGUGACUGAGGCUGAGCAAAUGAUACUGACCACUCUAAAUUUUGAACUAAAUGUGCAACAUCCAUAUGGUCCUCUGACAUCCAUUCUUAACAAAUUAGGUCUUUCGCAAACUGUUUUGGUGAAUGUGGCAUUAAACCUUGUUAGUGAAGGGUACCUGUUUGGUAUGGAUUAUUUUGUAGUUGGCUGGAGUAUUUCAACUAGGAACCUAAUUUAGGAACAAGGAAGUGAUCUUGCAUCUUGAUUGUGUAUAUCUUAUAUAUAUGGGCUAGUGGGUGUUUCAGAUCACAACCAGUUAGCCGACUGAGAUUUCGGGUAGUAUGGGCUUGGAGGAUACACUUCCACUCUUUUAUGGUUAAACUGUGUGCUAAUUGUGUCAAUCAUUUUCUUCUUCAGAGCUGCAACUCUGCAUAGUUAUUCUGGCAUGGGAUAUUGAUUCUUUUGGCAUGACACAAUAUUGCAGGGGCUACACAUGAUUAGCUUGCUCACGUGUUUGAAUACUGUUAGCUGGCGGAUUGAUGUGCUGUUCAUGGAAAGUUUUGUUUUUAAGGUUGAAGUUGACCUGCUGAUGUAUUGUUGAUCACUUUAAGCGGCAUAGCCUAUAAACUUGGUCUGGGAUAGUAAAGAAAACCGCAUAAACUCUGAUGCCAGCCAAAUUUUACUUUUAAAUUCUUCUUUUUUUGAAGUCUCACUUUUAUUUUAAAAAAAACUCUUAUCUGGUAUUUUUACAAACUCAAGAUUUUGAACUCCAGCAACUUCUCCUCGUGCUGUUUAUUCUCAUUGAUAUAUACCAAAACCAUUGAUUUAAAGGAGACUAAUAUUCAUAUAUUAUGUUCUUGCCCACAAUUGUUUUAAGGGUCUGCAGUUUUUUUAUAUAUUAAUUUACAAUCGUACUAUAGUUUCAUUUCUGUUAAACUUUUUUGGAGAAAUUAGUGUUACAAAAUUUUCAAAAUAUUACUGGGUUUUUUAAAUGAAAAUUCUUGUUGUGUGUGUAUAUAUAUAUGAUAAAAUUUUUUUCAACUCUGUACAGGGCUACUACUCUGUUUUUGGUAUCUGCUUAAUAGCCCAGAUAGUAUUUGUGUAUGAUAGUUUAGCCCAAAAUACUGUGUAUUUUUUGCUUAAUUUGCUUUUUUUUUUCUUCAAAAAACCUUAUAUAGCACAUGAAAGAACAAUGUUCUGAAAUAGCAGAGGGUGGGAAAGAUAAAAAAAUGAAGGAUAAGGCAUCUUUGAUGAGAGAAAGAGAAAGAGGGAAAAAAAGCAGGGCCUUGUAACUAAUAAAAAUAAUUUAUUGAAAAUCUUUCAUCAAUUUUGCUGUGGGAAUAUUUCAGUUAGUAUUACUGUAGAACUUUCAGGUUCCUGUACCCAUUACCCCUCUUCAUCCGACUUAUCCUUUAUUGUUUUUAUUUUUCUCCUCUCCAUCAUAAUAUUUCUUAUAUGCAAAAGAAAUUUUUGUCUAAUCAUUUGUUCUUAUUGUCAAGACCAAUUAUAUUGUAUGCUGCAAAGGUGAAGUAAUAGAUGUUUGAUCAAUUUUGGCCAAUUAUUGGCAAUUUGUCAAUGCUUAGUUUUUUUUCUGGGUGGGUGUUAAAUUAUCCAUGAUUUUCUUUUUUUUUUUUGGGUGUCUAAGAUGGAAUCAGGAUUUUAAAGGGCUUUUAAUAUGUUGUGUAUCUUAUGUGGGUAUUUUCCCUCAAACUUUACAAGUUAUGUGUCACAUUUCUUGAUAUCUUAAUUGCUUGUUAAACAUCUAAAUGGGUAAGAUUUGUGAUGAUGUCAAUUCAUACUAUCCAAAUUGGACAAGUAGGAUAGAGAAUAAGGGAACUAAAAGUGCUUGCUUCCUAAUAUAAGCACAAAAAAUGUAUUCUAGAUUCCCCAUGCAUGCACUAACUUGUGCACACAGAUACAGACACUUGAAUAGUGGCCUAUAAGUUGAUAAUGUAUUUCUUUGAACUACAAAACGAGUCAUUGAUUUCCAUGCUAGGCAUAAUAGUGCUGGGGUAUAUUUGCUUGCAGUUCAUGCUUUUCCUCAUUCUCCCAUACAUUAACAUUAGCACUUUGAUUGUUUUUUCACUACUUUAUUCUGUUAUUUAACAUCAUUAUCAUGUUCAUCAACUAACUAUGGGUGGUCAUUGACAGAAGACCUUAUUGCAGUCCUGAGGUAGGGAAGGUGUUAUAUAGAACUGUAUAGGAAUCUGUAUUUUUGUGGGCUGACCGAACAUACCUGUGCUAAUCACUUAUCUUAGCUGCAUAAGCUUAGAUUUGUCUGAUUGGUAUUGUUUGGCUGGUUCUAAGGUCUGAGCCAACAAUAUAUAGACCUUUAGGCUUUUGCUACAUUAACGGCACCAUAUUUGAGGACCUAUAGCUAAAAACAAGUAGAGAUGAAAGUAUAUGUUGCAGUUCAGAAAUUAAGUCUUUAAGCCUUUAGCUGUGGUGGGUUUGAGCUGUCAUUUCUUUGUAGUUUCAGGCAUGGACUGGGAGUUUCUGGUCUGAGUUAUAUAUUGCAGGAAAUUAUCAGCAAUUUGAAUAAUAAUAAUUCAUAAUAUUGGCCUGGUCCAUGUCCAGCCCUACUUUCCAACUGUUGUGGAGUUCUUUUAUUUUUAUUUUUUAAAUCAUACCUUUGUAAGUGAAGACAGUUGCAUAUUUACAAAAAAGGCCACUGUCCAUAAUGAGUGGACAGUGGCCUAAUCAAACCUGAAAAUUGAAGUCACUUGUUACUCCUAAAAAAAGUCAUUUUUUGUGUAUCAUGAUUAAUGACAGGAGUCAGAUGAGGUGGUGACUUUAAGGGGCAAUUUGUCAAGUCAUUGCCCUAAUUUGAUUGGCUAGUACGAUCUCCCUUAAGAAUAAUAAUCUUCACCUUGCUUUCAAACAGAAAUAAUUUUCUUUUGACACAUUUUUUCUCGCUUAAAAUAUAAUUUCCAGAUCAGAGGUUAGCAAAACUGGUGGAACAUUAGAACUUUCAGAGAGAAGACCUGAGUUCAAGCCUUUGCCACGCUUGUGAAACCUUGAUUUGAAUUACUUAACAAAAUAUAUAUAUAUAUAUAUAUAUAUGUAUGUAUGUAUAUAAUAUUUUCAAUCCUGGUUACUGUAUAUCCUUGGGGUUCUCUAUAUGUAAACCCUUGUUUAAUAAUCAACUAUCAUUAACAGUUUGGAGUUGAAGAUGGUGUCAAUUUGAGAUUUGUAGUACUACUGAUUUUCAAAUUUGAUGGAUCACCUCAGGCUCUUCUGUGUAUGUAUCAUGGAGGCUGAAUAUAUAUUUUAGGGGCCUGAGAUGCAAAAGAUAAAUUGACGUCAAAAUUUAUAUAAUGUUCUCUGCCCCUGGAUCUUACUAUCGUAAUAUUAUUGAAGUUCUUACACAGAUAAUAUAGUCUACCUACUUUGUUAUGAAAAUAAAUAUAAGAAAAAAAAAUAUUGUAAAGUAAAAUUUUCAUUUAGUUUUAUCUCAUGUGAUAGCCUUCAGUUGAGGAUUUGUGUAAUAUGUAUGCUCCGGAAGCAUCACAGCAUGUGUGUCGACAAGCCUGUCCAACUGAUCGGAAGAGACAAACACUUGUCUUGAGAAAUUUAACUGUUGACAAUUUUGUUGCUCCUUCCUGUUUGCUUUGUUAUUUUAUUUCAUAUGUUUCUGGAGUUAAAAGGCCCCUGCAGCAGAACUGGGUCUGGGAGUUGAUGUGUUCUGUAGAUGAAUAUUACAUGUUUGCUAUAGUUUUCGUACUCUAUCAGCAAUCCUGCAGAGAUUCUUGGAAUAUAUUCUACCUGGAUUGGUGCUUUUUAGUUGGCUUCGGAGCUCAUUAUGGCUUCAGUUUAAACCUCAUCACAUUGCUGCUGGUGCUGCCUACCUUGCUGCCAAGUUUCUAAAUUUGGAUCUUGCUACUUAUCAGAAUAUCUGGCAGGAGUUCCAGACCACACCGGCAAUUCUUCAAGAUGUUUCAGAGCAGUUAAUGGAGCUCUUCUGAUACGAAUAAAACUUUUGUAGUAGUAAAGAAAAAAGGUUUUUCUCCUGCCAGACUUGAAAAUCCUUGCUGUAAAAAAGGGGGAAAGGAGGUGUGAAGAACAGGUGCGGCGUCUUACCAUCCCUGGUGCAGGCAUGGCCGUGCAAAAAGUGAGCCACCCUGGGACGAAUGAUACACUUUUGGAAUGUGGUAAUAUGUGUGCAUUCUUUUACCAAAUCAGGAUACGCUUAUCGGUAGAAUGCAGAAUGUAGAACGAGAAGACUGUCUUAAAAACGAUUGGAUAUGUUGAUGUCUUCUUUCUAAACUGGCUGCUAAGAUAUUUUGUUGUAUGUAUAAACUUGUGGGAGCGUUGACAAAAUUCAAUGAUGAUUCUUUGCCUAA
Mangifera indica (mango) is the source of this 5311-nucleotide RNA transcript. It is a transcript of the gene named cyclin-T1-4-like, with no coding region annotated. Lineage: Eukaryota; Viridiplantae; Streptophyta; Magnoliopsida; Sapindales; Anacardiaceae. The transcript has 8 exons. The record is from RefSeq and is a predicted model, not a curated record.